AUACGGAGGGGGCUAGCGUUGUUCGGAAUUACUGGGCGUAAAGCGCGCGUAGGCGGCGCACAUAGUCAGUGGUGAAAGCCCUGGGCUCAACCCAGGAAUUGCCUUUGAUACUAGUGUGCUUGAGUCCGGGAGAGGGUAGUGGAAUUCCCAGUGUAGAGGUGAAAUUCGUAGAUAUUGGGAAGAACACCGGUUGCGAAGGCGGCUACCUGGCCCGGUACUGACGCUGAGGUGCGAAAGCGUGGGGAGCAAACAGGAUUAGAAACCCCAGUAGUCC
RNAcentral lists this ribosomal RNA (274 nucleotides) under uncultured bacterium. RNAcentral's name for it is "partial 16S ribosomal RNA". It matches the Rfam family "Bacterial small subunit ribosomal RNA", at positions 523 to 796 of the family's 1533-position model. The record is from RNAcentral.